This 22-nucleotide microRNA is filed under the name Gadus morhua (Atlantic cod). RNAcentral describes it as "gmo-miR-100a-3p". Its record names the gene gmo-miR-100a-3p. Lineage: Eukaryota; Metazoa; Chordata; Actinopteri; Gadiformes; Gadidae. The record is from miRBase by way of RNAcentral.
CAAGUUCAUAUCUAUAGGUAUG